RNAcentral lists this ribosomal RNA (440 nucleotides) under uncultured bacterium. RNAcentral describes it as "partial 16S ribosomal RNA". It matches the Rfam family "Bacterial small subunit ribosomal RNA", at positions 338 to 795 of the family's 1533-position model. The record is from RNAcentral.
ACUACGGGUGGCAGCAGUGGGGGAUAUUGCACAAUGGGGGGAACCCUGAUGCAGCGACGCCGCGUGGGUGAAGAAGCGCCUCGGCGCGUAAAGCCCUGUCAGCAGGGAAGAAAAUGACGGUACCUGAAGAAGAAGCCCCGGCUAACUACGUGCCAGCAGCCGCGGUAAUACGUAGGGGGCAAGCGGUAUCCGGAUUUACUGGGUGUAAAGGGGGCGCAGACGGCGAUGCAAGCCAGGAGUGAAAGCCCGGGGCCCAACCCCGGGACGGCUCUUGGAACUGCGUGGCUGGAGUGCAGGAGGGGCAGGCGGAAGUCCUGGUGUAGCGGUGAAAUGCGUAGAUAUCAGGAGGAACACCGGUGGCGAAGGCGGCCUGCUGGACUGCAACUGACGUUGAGGCCCGAAAGCGUGGGGAGCAAACAGGAUUAGAUACCCUGGUAGUC